UGAGUACGUGAUGCUACGGCAUCGAAGCAGUCUAUGUCAUACUUCCAAGAAAAGCUUGCACUGUCAGAAACAGAUAAUGCCUGUACCAUAACCGACACAGGUGGGUAGGUAGAGUAUACUAAGGGGCGCGAGAUAACUCUCUCUAAGGAACUCGGCAAAAUGACUCCGUAACUUCGGGAGAAGGAGUGCCUUAUUUUUAAGGUUGCAAUAACAAGAUCCAAGCAACUGUUUACCAAAAACACUGGUCUCCGCUAAGUCGUAAGACGAUGUAUGGGGGCUGACGCCUGCCCAGUGCCAGAAGGUUAAAGAAGUCGGUUAGCAUUCGCGAAGCUGGUAACUGAAGCCCUGGUGAACGGCGGCCGUAACGAUAACGGUCCUAAGGUAGCGAAAUUCCUUGUCGGGUAAGUUCCGACCCGCACGAAAGGCGUAAUGAUUUGGAUACUGUCUCGGAGAGGGGCUCGGUGAAAUAGACUUGUCUGUGAAGAUGCGGACUACCUGCACCUGGACAGAAAGACCCUAUGAAGCUUUACUGUAACUUGAAAUUGAAAUUGGACUUUAUUUGCGCAGUAUAGGUGGGAGGCGUUGAAAAUAUUCUUGCGGGAAUAUUGGAGCCAUCAGUGAGAUACCACUCUUGUAAUGUUAGAUUUCUAACUUUAUAUCAUUAUCUGGUUAAAGAACAGUUUCAGGCGGGCAGUUUGACUGGGGCGGUCGCCUCCCAAAUGGUAACGGAGGCGCACAAAGGUUUCCUCUGAACGGGUAGAAAUCGUAUCUAGAGUGUAAAGGCAUAAGGAAGCUUGACUUUGAGACCUACAAGUCGAGCAGGGACGAAAGUCGGUCUUAGUGAUCUGACGGUGCUGAGUGGAAAGGCCGUCACUCAACGGAUAAAAGUUACUCUAAGGAUAACAGGCUGAUCUCCCCCAAGAGUUCACAUCGACGGGGAGGUUUGGCACCUCGAUGUCGGCUCAUCGCAUCCUGGGGCGGUAGUACGUCCCAAGGGUUGGGCUGUUCGCCCAUGAAAGCGGUACGCGAGCUGGGUUCAGAACGUCGUGAGACAGUUCGGUCCAUAUCCGGUGUAGGCGUUAGAAUAUUGAGAGGAGCCUUCUUUAGUACGAGAGGACCGAGAAGGACAUACCUCUGGUGUACCAGUUAUCGUGCCAACGGUAAACGCUGGGUAGCUAUGUAUGGAGUGGAUAACCGCUGAAAGCAUCUAAGUGGGAAGCCCACCUCAAGAUAAGUAUUCUCAU
This 1244-nucleotide ribosomal RNA is filed under the name metagenome. RNAcentral's name for it is "bacterial LSU rRNA". It matches the Rfam family "Bacterial large subunit ribosomal RNA", at positions 1564 to 2817 of the family's 2925-position model. The record is from RNAcentral.